This is a long non-coding RNA of Microcebus murinus (gray mouse lemur), 3750 nucleotides long. The record is from Ensembl. Lineage: Eukaryota; Metazoa; Chordata; Mammalia; Primates; Cheirogaleidae.
AUGCGGCUUCCCCCUCACAUCUGGGCACGCAGACCCUCCCCUCAGCCACCCCAGCAAGCCCGGAGAGCCUCAGCGAAGCCCCAGGUCCGGAAAGGUGGUGGGGGACCAGCACCUGUCCUCAGCCCGUCUGGACCAACCUUUCCCGAAAAGCCGGAGGCGAGCUGUGUGAUCCUGGCAGUGACUGGCCAAGUGCUACCACAGGAAGUGUUGCUGACUCUUCAAACGGCCAUGAAAACUUGCAACCUGAAACCCCAGAAAAAAUCUGCAGUCUGUCCAGGUGAAAGUCUCCACUGGUGGUUCUCUGACCCAGGGGACACUACUCAGGUGGUCAAGGGAGGUCCCUCCUGCCACAGCAGAAUCACCAUUCCAGAUCUGGGAGCCAGGCUUUUCCCCGGCUCCCACUGGAUGCUGUUCACAGCCUGCACCACCUCGAGGGGUGGCAGUCCCAGACGCUGUCGGCCUUUUUGUCUUCUGCUGCUUCCUGUAGGACCCAGGGCUGAGUCUCAUUGCUUGCCCUCUUGCAUGUGGCACACAGAUCAUUUGGCUUGGCUGGCAAUGAGCUUUGCUCCUUCCACUUUUUUGCAUGGCACAGUGGGUGUGAGUCCAGCCACUGGACAAGCCCAGGUUAAAAUCAGCCUUGCCACACUCUGCCUGAGUGGCCUUCCGGCAAGUCUCUGCUCCUCUCAGAGCCUCUGUUUGCUCAUCUGGAAGCUGGGGUCACAGAUACAGUACUUGCUCACACAGCAGCUGUACGGCUGCUGUGAAUAGCAAUAGGGUUCUCACCCCGUGCCCAGUGCUGCUCACAGCUGUGGUUGGUCUUGUCCUUAGUGUAUCCCAUGGUCCUUGUGCAAAGGCAGGCUGGCACCCCUGCCAGGAAGGGGGUGGGAGCCUUGAGUCUCUCCUGCCCCUGGCAGCAGGAGGCUCAUUUGCCUGGGAGCUUCCUAUGGACUCAGUUUGGCUGCAGUGGGGAGAGUCCAGGCCAGGCCUCUGAGGCUGGGACCCAGAGGGACCUCCUUGUCCUCCCAGGUUCUCCAGGCUCCCCUCUUCCUCUGCCCCACCCACUGCUUCCUACAAAUCUCGGCAGGGCCUGGUGUAUUCCCUGCUGGUCACCUGGGCACAGCCCUGCAUAGCACAGACCCGGUGCUGCCUGGUGGCUAAAGGGCUUGGACGCUGGCAGUGACCAUGGACCACCCCAAGUGGAGUAGGUGCCACAGUGCCUGGUCUGAGGCCGGAGCGGCAGCUGUACGGCAGGGACGUGGACCAAGGAAGGGAGGACCAGGUGCCCUCCUCUAGCUCCUGCCCGGAAAACCGUCUUCCUUGCUGCUGCUCAGCCCUUCCCAGCCCUGCCCCUCACCCUGCUUCUCACAUUUCAGCUUCUGAGCUACUGGCAGCAGCACACCAGACAUGGUAACCCAGGGUGUGCUGGCGGCAGCACAGCCUGAAACGGGCAGCAGGGGCCCAAGGUCUGCUGAGGUGAGGGAGAGAGAAUGCUCCUAAAGCCAGUCCUGUGCUCCCCACACUGCAAUGCUUAUCUGGCUUCCUUCCUUGUCUGCCCAUACUUGAAGCCGCAGCCUCUUCUGACCCCUGUGAAUUGUUCUUUCCUCUGACCGUCUGGCACGGACCGGCCACAGAGUGUGGGUUGUGUGUCACCUCGAACCUGACCUUGUCAUUUCAAGGAUGGCCAGGCGUUCUCCCUCCAUACACCUCACCACACCCAGCUGGACUCCCCUCUUGCCCCUGCCCUUACGUGGGCAGGGCUGGGCCUCCAGGACCAGGUGAGCUCUCAAGUUCCGAUGCCAGCAGGAAGCCAUUUUCCAGGGCUGCCGCGCAGGACUCUGGAAGGAACCUGGAAGGAGUCCAGGCUCUGGCAGGGACCAGCUGUGAUGAGCUUGGGCAAGUCCUGGGGGUAUGAUAAUAGGACUUAGGGUGCCCUUGUGUGGGUGAGACAAGGAAUGCAAGGAGAGCCACCCAGGCAGCAUCUGGCACACAGUGGCGCUGACCACUAGUGCUUACAAACACGUGCCUCCCGGGCUCACGCCGGGCUCCAAGCCAGCUCCUCCCCAGGAGGGCCAGUCCUGGUUUCCCGGCCACAUCCCCCACCUUGCAGCCCACCCGGGUCUGAUUUUUCAUUAGCGCCAGCCUCUGUCCCUCCCCUGUCCUGGCUGGCCCUAGCCCUCCCUUUUCUAGUCUCAAAUGGGACUUGACAUCCCACCUUUUCUCCCCAACCUCUGUCCAUUCCAUGGGAGGAGAGCCAGCUGUCUAGAGGGACCCUGGAGACAACACUUACAGUGGUCCUCUUCCCACAUCCCCUGCUUCCCACCUUCCUCCUGAGCCCAAGACACUCCCUCCUGGUUCCAGGUGGGCCUCAUCCAACCCUUCACCCUCCCCCAUCCUGUCUGGUGGCAGACUUACUCUCCUUUGGGGGUUCUGCCCUCUCCCCCUCCCUCUGGAGAGGGGGCCAGGCUGGGUGGCAGGUGUCUCCAUUCUGGUCCCAUCUUUCCUGCUAAUUCUUUGAGGUUUCAGUGUCAACAUGCCUCAGGCUACUGGUUGACCUGGAGAAAUUAUGGUAACUGUCCUGAGGCCCUACAGAAAAUCAAUCGAGGAAGCGGUUAGACAGCCACUUCUGUCUAAAACAGAAAUAGCUCGGCCUGCGUGGCCAUGAAUUGAGUGUUUCUAUAGGGAACGCUGCAGUUGGAGCAGCCGAGUGCUGGGUUCCUCCUUGCUGACACCAUGAGAGGCAGAGACACUUCCCUUGGGGAAAAGUCCCUCGGGAAGCUGAAAACCCCUGAGGGGUGUGGGAGGAGGAGGGGCCCAGCGCAGGACAGGGCAGUACUGAGGGGCAGGAAGAGGUGGGCCACAGAGAGGGCAUGGGGACUCCGGCCACCUCCAGUAGGGCUGCCACCAGCUUUGUUCCAAGGUGAAUCAGCUCCAGCUGGAUGAUGGAGGUGGGCAUCGGAGGUCAGGCCUACCAGGCACCCAGGCAAGCCGGGCACCACCCAGCUGGAUCUGCAGGGCCCAGGGGGCUGCAAGGUGUCAGUCAGUGCUGCACCUCAACACCUGCCCUGCUUUCCCCCAGGCAGCCUGUAUGCCGGGCGCCCCCUGGUGGUUGGGGAACCCCAGCCUUGUGAGCCCCAAGAAUUGGAGAAGACCAGAGUAUUGGGGGAUAUUGAGCUCUGCUGCAGACCCCAACAGGGGCAUCUGACCCCAUUCUGCCUUCCUGGGAGCAGGAGGCUGAGGCAGGAGGAUCGCUUGAGGCGAAGACUUUGGGCCCACUGUGGCUGAAGAAAGGAGGCCUGAACCCAUUGCUGCAAAGGAUCCUGCCUCUUUCUGGGGCCCCCAGACUCCUGGCCAUCUUCAGGGUUAAUAAAGCUGCUUUUUAAUAACAGCUUUACUAUGUAUAAUUCACAUACUACAUAAUUCACCCAUUUAAAGUGUACAAUGCAGUGGUUUUUAGUAUAUUCACAGAGUUAUGCAACAUUACCACAGUCAAUUUUAGAACACUUUCUUCACCCCAAAAAGGAACCCCACACCCAUUAGCAGUCACUCCCCAUCUCCCUUCCUCUCAGCCCCAGGCAACCACUCAUUUACUUUCUGUCUCUGUGGAUUUGCUGCUGUGGCCUUCCGUGUCCGGCUUCUCUCACUGAUCUCACGUUUGUUUUUUUUUUUUUUUUUUUUGAGACAGAGUUUCACUUUGUUGCCCGGGCUAGAGUGAGUGCCGUGGCAUCAGCCCAGCUCACAGCAACCUCAGAC